UUCGCAAUGUAAGUUAUUCUAGCAUUUUCCACAUUCAUAUUGAUAUUAAUGAAUCUAGAUAUUCAAUAUGAAUAUGAGAAAUGUUAGAAUGACUUACAUUGUGAA
Molecule: unclassified non-coding RNA, 105 nt
Filed under: Oryza sativa (Asian cultivated rice)
Lineage: Eukaryota; Viridiplantae; Streptophyta; Magnoliopsida; Poales; Poaceae
Description: partial microRNA MIR472r precursor
Source: RNAcentral